UUCCCGCCCCGCCGCUCCCCUUUUCCCGCGUGUGCGGUGCCCGGACGCGGUUUCCGUUCCCCGCUCCGCCGCGCGCGAGCUCCGCCGGUUUGCAUGCUGGGCGCGCGGCGCGCGGCGGGGCGCGGAGCGGCGGCGCGGAGCCAUGUCGGUGGCGCUGCGGGGCUGCGGCGGGGCCCCGCGGGGCCGGGCCGGCGAGAAGCAGUGCUGUGAGUAUCCCCGGUGCUGCGGUGCUGAAGGGAGGGGGGCGCGCUCCGUGCCCGCAGAGAAGCGGAGCCAGUAACGGGAGGGGGACGGGGCUGCGCGCGUUGCCCCCGAAGCUGGCGGGUCCCCGUCCUGCUGCCUGUCCCCUCCCGCCGUUCCCCUGUCCCCAGCCCCCGGCUGCUGCAUCCAUCCCCCUCCCGUGCUUUUCGCCCCAAAUCCGCCCCUCCGCCGGCGUUUCGGGAGCUUGCUCGGGCUGUUCGCUCGGAGAACGUGACCGUUUUGUUAAAAACAUCUUUCGUUCGCCCUUGACGGCGCUGCCCGGGCGGUGAGUGCUGUUAACACUGCAAGCCCCAUUAGGCAGCGGUGCUGCCGGUCCGCCUCAUUAGCAAACACCUGGAGAGCACGGAGUGAUCACAGCCGCUCAUUAACGACAGGGACACACGGCGAGCCCGUCCUGGGAUGCACGGAGGUGCUUUAUCCCCGGGAGAUGGGGUGACGCUGUGCUGGGUCUCACUUUAUGCUCUGCAGCACCCCUGAUGCUGUUUUGGGGUGGUUUUGGGUUGUUUUUUGUUGGUUGUUUUCUGCAGCAUGGGCUUCUUACAUGACCAACUCCCCGACGCUGAUCGUGAUGAUUGGGCUGCCUGCGAGGGGCAAGACCUACAUGUCCAAAAAGCUCACCCGCUACCUCAACUGGAUCGGGGUGCCCACCAAAGUGUUUAAUUUAGGGGUGUAUCGGCGCGAGGCGGUGAAGUCCUACAAGUCCUACGACUUCUUCAGGCACGACAACAAGGAGGCCAUGGAAAUCCGCAAACGCUGUGCCCUGGUGGCUCUGGAAGAUGUGAAGUCUUAUCUCUUGGAGGAGUGCGGGCAAAUAGCUGUGUUUGAUGCGACCAACACGACUCGGGAGCGCCGGGACCUGAUCUUAAAUUUUGCUAAGGAAAAUGCUUUCAAGGUGUUUUUCGUGGAGUCUGUCUGUGAUGAUCCAGAGGUCAUCGCUGCCAAUAUCCUGGAGGUGAAAGUUUCCAGCCCUGACUACCCAGAGAGGCACAGGGAGAAUGUCAUGGACGAUUUCCUGAAGAGGAUUGAGUGCUACAAGGUCACCUACCAGCCUCUGGACCCGGAUGCUUAUGACAAAGACCUUUCCUUCAUUAAAGUGAUCAAUGUGGGCCAGCGGUUCCUGGUCAACCGAGUGCAGGACUACAUCCAGAGUAAAAUUGUCUAUUACCUGAUGAACAUCCACGUCCAGCCACGCACCAUCUACCUCUGCCGGCACGGGGAGAGCGAGUACAACCUCGUGGGCAGGAUUGGUGGGGACUCUGGGCUCUCAGCCAGGGGGAAGCAGUUUUCCCAGGCACUGAAGAAGUUCAUUGAGGAGCAGGAGAUCGUGGACCUGAAGGUGUGGACGAGCCAGCUGAAGAGGACAAUCCAGACAGCAGAGUCCCUGGGGGUGCUCUACGAGCAGUGGAAGAUCCUCAACGAGAUCGAUGCUGGGGUCUGUGAAGAAAUGACCUAUGCAGAAAUUGAAGCCAAGUAUCCAGAAGAGUUUGCCAUGAGGGAUCAGGAGAAAUACCUUUAUCGUUAUCCUGGAGGGGAGUCCUACCAGGACUUGGUGCAGCGCCUGGAGCCAGUAAUUAUGGAGCUGGAGAGGCAAGGCAACGUCCUGGUUAUCUCCCACCAGGCUGUUAUGAGGUGUCUCGUGGCUUAUUUUCUUGACAAGAGUGCAGAUGAGCUGCCCUACCUGCGCUGCCCCCUCCACACCAUCCUCAAGCUCACACCUGUUGCCUAUGGCUGCAAAGUGGAGACAAUUACCCUGGAUGUGGAAGCAGUGAACACCCACCGGGAAAAACCCUCUCACAAUUUACACGACCUCCCCAGCAGGCAGAGCCCUGUGAGGAUGAGGAGGAACAGCUUUACCCCGCGGGCCAGCGCCGACACCGUAAAGCGCCCGCGGCACCACAGCCUGGGCAGCAAACCCCUCCACCUGCUGGGGCCUCUCCCAUCCCUGGAAGCUCGAGGGCCUUUCCCAUCCCUGGAAGCUCGAGAAGGGGCUGAGCAGCCACAGCUGGAAGUCACUGUCCAGCCUCCAGAGGGAAAUGCUUGCCUCUGAGUACCACUGCAAGCAGCUUGGGUGUGCUCUCUUUGGGGUGGUCACUGUGAUGCUUCUUGGGUGGUUCUGGCAGUGUGAUUCCCCAUGGAGAAGAGAAUGGCCGCUUGAGCAGUGUAGGGGUUCCUGCUUUCCCCUUGGAUCCAGCUGGGAAUUCCAGGACUCCGGGACUGGAGCAUCCCUGGGGCGCCGUGAGCCACCCUGGCCAGUACUUGCCUUGAACUGUGAUUUUAGAGCCUGUCUGUGUCUUUUCUUUCCAAAUGCUGCAAUGUCUGUCCACGGGGCUGGAGAAGAUUUCCUGUGGAGAUUUUUCCAAGCUGCUUUGAACGCUCCUAAGCCAGCGCAUCGCCGGGUGUUGGAAUAGUGUCCCACGUCUUUCCUCCUGGCCAGGUGCCAAAAUUAACCACAGUGGGAGGACAAAAUAGUCAUGUUUUUGCUCACUGAGGCAGCUUUCCUUCAGAAAAGGCAUUUCCAGGCCAAACCCCCGAGGUUUUAUUUCUCCAUUUCCAAGUUAUUUCCAAGUUCAAACUCAAUUUUUUUUUCUGGUUUUCAGCCACCCAGGGAGCUCCAGGUAGGGCUUGACUUUCCCUCCUUGAGUGCUGGUGUGAAUCCCCCAAUCUGAGCCAGUUCCUUUUUGCUUGGAUGCUCGUUCCAGGCUUCUGCUUGGAUGUGACACCCAGGUCAGCACAUCCAUCCCACGGGCUGCCUCCUGUGAGGGACAGAUGGGAAUAAACCCUCCUGCCCCUCUCUGGAGGCAGCACAGCUCCCAGUGCUUUAAAUCCCACCUCAAGCCCUAUUUUAGCUUCUCCUCCCUACCUAAACUCCAUCCUCUCACUCAUUUUUCCUGCAUUUUGCCGGUGUUUUAUCCAUUUACCCCAGAAAAUGGGAGCAUGGCUGAGACCAGCAGGGGCAUGGUUUGUAGGAAGCACAAGAUUUUUAAAAGUUUUAUUUUACAUCAAAUUUUAGGCCCACAGGAAGCUUUUAACUUGCCUAUGAAUAAGCUGUGAAUGUUCCCAGUGCUGCCUUUCAUAGUUUUAAGCUGUUGUAGAGUUUGGUGCAGCUCUGUGUCUUAACUUAAAUCCUUCCCUUAAAUCCCCACCAAACCCCAAAUUCUCAGUUCUCUCCCACAAGUCUUGACUUGCAUUUUGCCAAACUCCAUUUUACCCCACUCCAGCUGUUCUUGCAAUAAGGGCAGCACCCUCAGGUUGGGUGAAGAAAGGAACAUUUUGGUACAGAGCAGGAGGCUGUUCUGGACCUGCUGUUCCAGGUGACUCCAGGAUUUCUCUGAGCAUUUCUGGGCCCCAGAAGUUGCUUAUUUUAAAUGUGUAAAUAAAUGUUGGAUAUACCCACAGCAGGGAAACUGUGCCCUGGCUGUGGAGGAGCUCAGCAACCCCAGAGCUUGAGGUUUAACUUGGGUAUUUUGAGCUCAAACUUGGUUGUUUUAAACACUCCCAGAGCUGUAAUUUGAUAAAACUGAGAUGGAGAGGACCAAGGCACAAAUCUGGACCCCUCAGGAUUUCUGAGGAGCAGAAAAAUCUGUUGAUCUAAAGCGAUUGUGCCACAGAGGGGUGAAAUUUGGUGGUGAGAAAUUGAGUUUUUAAUAGUUUUUCUCCUCAGGGUUUCACCACCCAGGUCUGGUUUUCAGUUUUAAAUCUUUUUGUGCUUAGAAAUAAACUAGAAAAAAAAAAAAAAAA
Onychostruthus taczanowskii (white-rumped snowfinch) is the source of this 3999-nucleotide RNA transcript. It is a transcript of the gene named 6-phosphofructo-2-kinase/fructose-2,6-biphosphatase 2, with no coding region annotated. The record is from RefSeq and is a predicted model, not a curated record. The transcript has 16 exons. NCBI's taxonomy places the organism in Eukaryota, Metazoa, Chordata, Aves, Passeriformes, Passeridae.